Molecule: ribosomal RNA, 431 nt
Filed under: uncultured bacterium
Lineage: Bacteria
Description: partial 16S ribosomal RNA
Rfam family: Bacterial small subunit ribosomal RNA
Source: RNAcentral
ACGAACGCUGGCGGCAUGCCUAACACAUGCAAGUCGAACGAGACCUUCGGGUCUAGUGGUGCACGGGUGCGUAACGCGUGGGAACCUGCCCUUAGGUUCGGAAUAACUCCCCGAAAGGGGUGCUAAUACCGGAUAAUGUCUUCGGACCAAAGAUUUAUCGCCUUUGGAUGGGCCCGCGUUGGAUUAGCUAGUUGGUAGGGUAAAAGCCUACCAAGGCGACGAUCCAUAGCUGGUCUGAGAGGAUGAUCAGCCACACUGGGACUGAGACACGGCCCAGACUCCUACGGGAGGCAGCAGUGGGGAAUAUUGGACAAUGGGCGAAAGCCUGAUCCAGCAAUGCCGCGUGAGUGAUGAAGGCCUUAGGGUUGUAAAGCUCUUUUACCCGGGAUGAUAAUGACAGUACCGGGAGAAUAAGCUCCGGCUAACUCCGU